This 659-nucleotide ribosomal RNA is filed under the name uncultured beta proteobacterium. Its description in RNAcentral is "bacterial SSU rRNA". It matches the Rfam family "Bacterial small subunit ribosomal RNA", at positions 68 to 718 of the family's 1533-position model. The record is from RNAcentral. Lineage: Bacteria; Pseudomonadati; Pseudomonadota; Betaproteobacteria.
AGCGGGGUAGUGCUUGCACUACUGUCCGGCGGGUGGCGAACGGGUGAGUAAUAUAUCGGAACGUACCGAGUAAUGGGGGAUAACCAAUCGAAAGAUUGGCUAAUACCGCAUACGUCCUACGGGAGAAAGCGGGGUAUCGCAAGACCUCGCGUUAUUCGAGCGGCCGAUAACUGAUUAGCUAGUUGGUGGGGUAAAGGCCUACCAAGGCGACGAUCAGUAGCGGGUCUGAGAGGACGAUCCGCCACACUGGGACUGAGACACGGCCCAGACUCCUACGGGAGGCAGCAGUGGGGAAUUUUGGACAAUGGGGGCAACCCUGAUCCAGCCAUGCCGCGUGUAUGAAGAAGGCCUUCGGGUUGUAAAGUACUUUUGUUAGGGAAGAAAAGGGAAGUGCUAAUACCACUUUUUGCUGACGGUACCUAAAGAAUAAGCACCGGCUAACUACGUGCCAGCAGCCGCGGUAAUACGUAGGGUGCGAGCGUUAAUCGGAAUUACUGGGCGUAAAGCGAGCGCAGACGGUUAUUUAAGCAGGAUGUGAAAUCCCCGGGCUCAACCUGGGAACUGCGUUCUGAACUGGAUAGCUAGAGUGUGUCAGGGGGGGGUAGAAUUCCACGUGUAGCAGUGAAAUGCGUAGAGAUGUGGAGGAAUACCGAUGGCGA